CUGGCUCAGGAUGAACGCUAGCUACAGGCUUAACACAUGCAAGUCGAGGGGCAGCAUGAGAUUAGCUUGCUAAUCUUGAUGGCGACCGGCGCACGGGUGCGUAACACGUAUCCAAUCUACCCAUGGCUCGGGGGAUAGCCUUUCGAAAGAAAGAUUAAUACCCGAUGGUCUGCGAUUGAGACAUCUCGAUUGCAGUAAAGACUUGUCGGCGAUGGAUGGGGAUGCGUCCGAUUAGCUAGUUGGCGGGGUAACGGCCCACCAAGGCGACGAUCGGUAGGGGUUCUGAGAGGAAGGUCCCCCACACUGGAACUGAGACACGGUCCAGACUCCUACGGGAGGCAGCAGUGAGGAAUAUUGGUCAAUGGUCGGGAGACUGAACCAGCCAAGUAGCCGUGAGGGACGACGGCCCUACGGGUUGUAAACCUCUUUUGUAUGGGAAUAAAGUGAGGCACGUGUGCCUUUUUGUAUGUACCUUACGAAUAAGCAUCGGCUAAUUCCGUGCCAGCCGCAGC
Molecule: ribosomal RNA, 512 nt
Filed under: uncultured bacterium
Lineage: Bacteria
Description: bacterial SSU rRNA
Rfam family: Bacterial small subunit ribosomal RNA
Source: RNAcentral